CGCUUGAAGUUUCCCCUCCGAGGAGUAUGCUAAUCCCCUAUUUAGCAGGUUGGAGCUUAGUGAGAACUCCCACCGACAGCUUCCACUUGGGACGGCGUAGGUGAUCAGACGAAGCACAAGCGGAUGAGCGGCGGGUGACCGUAUAUAAACAGGCAACUCUGACCCGCAAAGCCUGCAGCAACCAGACCAAAACGUCUGGAGCCCUCCAGAGCGGGACGUUAGCCUGUGAGUCUAUAACCCUCACGUGCCCACACCCUGUCCCCCACCAGGGUCUGGAAUCAGAUCCCCCCAGGGCCCUGCAAUAGCGCCAAGGAACUAGCUCCAGGGCAGAAGCGUCUCAGCUGAUGGGAAAAGAAGGCCUCCGCCCACACUGCGCCUGCAGCCCUCCGGCCACAGAGAGCUGGGAAGCUGCCCUGCCUGACGCAGCCUGUGGAGAGGCCACGUGAGGGAGCCUGGAAGCAGACCGUUUCUCAGCUGUGCGUGAGAGGACAGCAGCCCUGACCAGCACCUUGGCUGCAGCCUUGUGAGAGCCCUGGAACCAGAACGACCCAGCUCAGCCACUCCUGGACAACCCACAGCAACUGGGACACGAGUUCGAGCCCUGGUCCGGGAAGAUCCCACAUGCUGCGGAGCAACUAAGCCCAUGCACCACAACUACUGAGCCUGCACUCUAGAGCCCACGAGCCACAACUACUGAGCCCACGAGCCUAGAGCCCAUGCUCCGCAACAAGAGAAGCCACCUCAGUGAGAAGCCCACACACCACAGCGAAGAGUAGCCCCUGCUCACCUCAACUAGAGAAAACACGCAUGCAGCAUGGAAGAGCCAACACAGCCAAAAACAAAAAUAAAUAAAUUUAUAAGAAAAAAUUUAAAGAAACCCACUUUAAAUAUAAAGUUAAAUAUAGAUUAAAAGUAAGCGGAUGGAGAAACAUAUACCAUGCUAACACUACUCAAAAGAAAGCAGGAGUAGCUAUAUUAAUGUCAGAUAGAGCAGUCUUUGAAGCAAGGAAAAUUAUCAAGGAUAAAGAAGGGCAUUGCAUAAUGUUAAAGGUGUCAGUUCUCCAAGAAGGCAUAACAAUGCUUAACAUGUAUGUGCCUGACAACAGAACAUCAAAGUACAUGAGGCAAAAACUGAUAGAACUGCAAGGAGAAAUAGACAAAUCCACCGUCAUAGUUGAAUAUUUCAGCACCCUGCAUCAGAAAUCCAGCAGGCAGAAAAUCAGUAAGGACACAGUUGAACUCAACACCACCUCCAAUCAACUGGAUAUAACUGACAUCUCCAGACUAUUUCAUCCAACAACAGCCAAAUACACAUUGUUUUCAAGCUCACAUGGAACAUUCACCAAGAUAAAUCAUAUUCUGGGCUAUAAAAUAUACAUUAACACAUUUAAAAGCAUAGAAAUCAUAUAAUAUAGGCUUUCAGGUGACAAUAGAAUUAAAAUAGAAAUUCAUACUACAAAGAUGGCCAGAAAAUCCCCAAAUACUUAUAGAUUAAACAACACACUUCUAAGUAUCACAUGGGUCAAAGAAGAGAUUGUAAGAGAAAUUUUAAAAUACCUUGAAAUAAUAAAAAUGAAAAUACAACUUAUCAAAAUGUGUGGUAUGAAGCAAAAGCAGUGUUUAGAGGGAUAUUUAUAGGAUUUAAUGCAUAUAUUAGAAAAGAAGAAAGAUCUAAAAUAAAUCAUCUAAAAAUAAAUAAAUAAAUAAGGGCUUCCCUGGUGGCGCAGUGGUUGCGCGUCCGCCUGCCGAUGCAGGGGAACCGGGUUCGCGCCCCGGUCUGGGAGGAUCCCACAUGUCGCGGAGCGGCUGGGCCCGUGAGCCGUGGCCGCUGAUCCUGCGCGUCCGGAGCCUGUGCUCCGCAACGGGAGAGGCCGCAACAAAGGGAGGCCCACAUACCACAAAAAAAUAAAUAAAUAAAAUAAAAUAAAAUAAAAUAAAUCAUCUAAGCUUUCACCUUAGAGAACUAGAAAAAGAAUAAAAAAUCAUAUUCGAAGUAAGUAAGAAAAAAAUCAUAAAAAUUAAAGCAGAAGUCAAUGAAAUUGAAGGCAGGAAAUCAACAGAGAAAAUCAACAAAACCAAAAGCUGGUUCUUUGGAAGAUAUUAAUAAAACUGACAAGCCUCUAACCAGGCUAACUAAGAAAAAGAGAGAAGACACCAAUUACUUUAAUAGAAAUGAAAGAGGACUUCACUACAGGUCUUUGUGCUACGUUUGUUCUUUUUUUCUAGUUCCUUGAGGUGUAAAGUUAGGUUACUUGAGAUUUUUGUUUCCUGAGGUAGGAAUUUAUUGCUGUGAACUUCUCUCCUAGAACUGCUUUUGCUGCAUUCUGUAAGUUUUUUUCCCUUUUUGUUUGUCUCCAAAAAUGUAGGGGACUUUUAACACCCCUACUAAUAUUGUAUUGCUAUCUAUUUCUCCCUUAAGGUCUGUUAGUAUUUGCUUUAUAUAUUUUAGUGCUCCUAUGUUAGGUGCCUGUGUAUGAAUAACUGUUAUGUUUUCUUGACGAAUUGUUCCAUUUGUCAUUAUAUACUGUCCACCUUUGUCUCUUGUUACCUUUUUUGGUUGAAAUCUAUUUUGUCUGAUAUGAGUACGGCUACACAUGCUUUAUUUUGGCUGCUGCUUGCUCAGAGUAUCAUCUUCCGUCCCUUCUCUUUGAGCCUAUAUUUGUCUUUAGAGCUGAGAUCAGUCUUCCAGAGGCAGUAUAUAGUUGGAAUUUGUGUUUUAAUCUGUCCUACCACUCUGUGUCUUUUGACUAGUGAAUUCAAUCCAUUUAUAUUUAGGGUGAUUAUUGAUAAGCAAGGGCUUAGUACUUCCAUUUAAUCUUUUGUUUUCUGGUUGCUCCAUAUCUCCAUUGUUUCUUUUUCUUUUUCUUUUCUUUUCUAUUUAUUUUGACUGCACUGGGUCUUCAUUGCAGCAUACAGGAUCCUUAGUUGCAGCAUGUAGGCUCAUAGUUGCAGCAUGCAGACUUCUUAGUUGUGGUAUGCAUGUGGGAUCUAGUUCCCCGACUAGGGACUGAACCCAGGCCCCCUGCAUUGGGAGUGCGGAGUCUUACCCACUGGACCACGAGGUAAGUCCCACCAUUGUUUCUUUUUCUUGUGUUUCUGCCUGCCAUUUUGUUUUGGUGGUUUUCUAUAAUAUUUUUCUCAGUUUCCUCUUUUGUAUAUUUUGUGUCUAUGCUCUAGAUUUAUGUUUUGUGGUUAACAUGAGGUUUGUAUAAAAUAUCUCAUAGAUAAAAUUGUCCGUUUUUCUUGCUAACAGCAUCUUAUCUUCAUUUGCCUAUACAGAUUCCAUCCUUUUCCUCUUUCCCUUUUGUGUUUUUGUUUCCCCAAAUUAUCCCUUUUUAUGUUGUGAGUUUAUUACCAAAUUGAAAUAGGUAUAGUUAUUUUAUUCCUGCCUUUUCCCUCUUUAAUUUUUAUGCUGUAAUAAAGUGUUUUAAAACCUAUUCUAAUAAAGGGUUGCAAUUUUCUGUUUCUAUUUAUCACCUUGCUCAGAGGUUUGUAUAUUUUGGCCAUUUUGUUUCUGGUAAAAGAGCUCCUUUCAACAUUUUGUAAGGCAGGUUAGUGUCGAUGAAUUCCCUCAGCUUUUUUCUGGGAAAGUCUUUAUAUCUGGAUGAUAACUUUGCUGGAUAGAGUAUUCUUGUGUGACAAUUUUUAUCUUUUAGUAUUUUGGGAAUGUCAUUCCACUCCCUCCUGGCCUAUAUGGUUUCUGAUGAGAAAUCUGCUCAUAGACUAAUGGGGGUUCCUUUGUAAGUUACCAUCCUUUUUUCCCUUGCUGCCUUUAAAAUUCUUUCUUUGUCAUUGACUUUUGACAGUUUUAAUAUGAUGCGUCUUGAAACAGGUCUGUUUGCAUUGAGAUAAUUGGUUUUUCUCUUAGCUUUAUGGGCUUGUAUAUCAGUUCCUUCCUCAGAUUUGGGAAGUUCUCAGCUGUAAUUU
Physeter macrocephalus (sperm whale) is the source of this 3927-nucleotide long non-coding RNA. RefSeq lists it as uncharacterized. The record is from RefSeq and is a predicted model, not a curated record. The transcript has 4 exons. NCBI's taxonomy places the organism in Eukaryota, Metazoa, Chordata, Mammalia, Artiodactyla, Physeteridae.